RNAcentral lists this ribosomal RNA (253 nucleotides) under uncultured bacterium. Its description in RNAcentral is "partial 16S ribosomal RNA". It matches the Rfam family "Bacterial small subunit ribosomal RNA", at positions 524 to 776 of the family's 1533-position model. The record is from RNAcentral.
GACGGAGGAGGCAAGAGUUAUCCGGAAUUAUUGGGCGUAAAGGGUGCGUAGGCGGCUGGUCAAGUCUGGGGUUAAAGGCCACAGCUCAACUGUGGGAAGGCCCUGGAAACUGACCGGCUAGAGUGAGGUAGGGGUUGCGGGAAUUCCCGGUGUAGCGGUGAAAUGCGUAGAGAUCGGGAAGAACACCUGAGGCGGAAGCGCGCAACUGGGCCUCAACUGACGCUGAGGUACGAAAGCUAGGGAAGCGAAUGGG